RNAcentral lists this ribosomal RNA (254 nucleotides) under uncultured bacterium. RNAcentral's name for it is "partial 16S ribosomal RNA". It matches the Rfam family "Bacterial small subunit ribosomal RNA", at positions 524 to 776 of the family's 1533-position model. The record is from RNAcentral.
UACGAAGGGGGGCUAGCGUUGUUCGGAAUUACUGGGCGUAAAGCGUAUGCGGGCGGAUCGUUAAGUCGGGGGUGAAAUCCCGAGGCUCAACCUCGGAACUGCCUUCGAUACUGGCGAUCUUGAGUCCGGGAGAGGUGAGUGGAACUCCGAGUGUAGAGGUGAAAUUCGUAGAUAUUCGCAAGAACACCAGUGGCGAAGGCGGCUCACUGGCCCGGUACUGACGCUGAGGUGCGAAAGCGUGGGGAGCAAACGGG